This is a long non-coding RNA of Humulus lupulus (European hop), 1609 nucleotides long. RefSeq lists it as uncharacterized. The transcript is spliced from 4 exons. The record is from RefSeq and is a predicted model, not a curated record. NCBI's taxonomy places the organism in Eukaryota, Viridiplantae, Streptophyta, Magnoliopsida, Rosales, Cannabaceae.
UCCUCUUUCACUAUUACUAUUCAUCUUCUUCCUUUUUUCGGCUUUUGGUAUUCUUAUCUCUGCAAGCUCGGCGAGAAACGGACGGGAACGAUGGUGUGGGUGAACAGCUGAGUGCGGCGUCAUCUAUAUUGUUCAUGGCGAAGAGACUGUCUUCGGUGGCGAACGGUGGUGCGAGGAUCGGAGUGCGUAGGGUGGAGGUCUUUAGUUUUUUUUUUUUCUCUUUUCUUUUGGUGAUACUCUCUGUAAUGCCCCCACUCUAUUGUUCAUUGGUUAUUUUGAUUGGAUUUUCAAUGUCAAAUACAUUUUAGAGUGACUGACUGUUCCAUCUCUGUUUGGAUUUUGAGGUAUUGUUCGAUCUAUUUUUAGAUUUUGCCAUUGGUAUCUCUGUUUUAGUAUUUAGUUUAACGUAGUACUAUGUUUUUUUUUGCUUUGUGUCAUACUCUCUGUUAUGCCAUAACCAUAUUAUUCAUUGGUUACUUUUUUGCAUUUUCACUUGCUAGCUACAUUUUUUUUUAGGGGUGGCGAGUUUUGAAGUUGUUUGCAUUUUGAGGUAUUUUGAUCUAUCUCUAUUUGGUGUUUGUCAUUUUUAUCUCUGUUUUUAGUAUUUAGUUUUUAUGUAGUAGUUUGAUUUAUAUUCAUCAUCUUUUAAAUAAUUUUUAUGUGUAUUAGAAAUGGUUAAAAAGUGAGAGAAUGUUGGUCCUUUUAAAUGCCUUGAUGAGACUGGUUCUUCAUUAAAUUUGCGUCGUUCUCUUUGAAGUCGGGGGAAGGAUUGAAGUGCCCGGGACCUAUGAACUAUAAAGACACUAACAUUAAGGGAGGUAAUGUUAGUGCUUCAUCGUCAUUUGUUAGUGGUGGUUUGCGUUCUUCACCCCGAGCUAAUGGGUCAUCAAAUUUCAAGACCACGGCUGUUAGGUCAAAGAAAGAUCAUGGGAGCAAAGUUAAGGUGGUUUGUGAACUUUUGGCAUUUUGAGAAGGAUUUGAAGCUUAAAGUGGAAUCAGGAUUUGAGGAAUGUUGUUGUAUUGUAGCAGCAUCACAUUCUGCCAACUAAUCUAUUUGGAUGACCCACGUUGGAAGCCACUAUUUAUUUCUCCAGCUCACUUUUGGAAUUAUUUGAAUUGGGCUGAAUGAUAAAUAGAUAAUAUAUGAUUGGGCUUCAUUUUGCCUUGUAUCCAUUUUUGAUAAAAAAAAAAAAGACAUUCAAUUAAAGGAGAUGAGUGGACAAGGCCCACGUGACAAGAGGAGAGAUGCCCUAAGUUUUAUAUACGUCAUCAUCUUUCCCCUUUGGGAAAGGAAUACACGAACCAGACCUAGAAAGGGGGCAGCAGCUGAGGCAAUUUUCAGACCUAAUUUUGGAAAGCUAUUAACGUGAAGGAGAAGAAGAAAAGCAAAGAGAAAAAGCUAGAAGAAAAAGACAACUUGGAGACAUCCAAUUGGCUUGCCAUUCUUACUUCACUCUUAGUUUUUCUUUAAAAUUUCUGAUUAUGGAUUGUUAUUAUUUGGGUAUUUUUUAGAUUAUAUUCAUGAGCUAAACUUUAAAUAGCUAGGAUAAUUUGAACCCUAUUAUGUGAAUUUUCUUGGUACUUUUAUAUUGAUGCUUAUGCAAUUUUA